GCAAGGCGAACGAGGGGAAGUGAAACAUCUCAGUACCCUUAGGAAAAGAAAUCAAUUGAGAUUCCCUCAGUAGCGGCGAGCGAACGGGGAUCAGCCCAUUAAGUUAUGUGUGUUUUAGUGGAACGCUCUGGGAAGUGCGAACGUAGAGGGUGAUAUUCCCGUACACGAAAGGGCACACAUAAUGAUGACGAGUAGGGCGAGGCACGUGAAACCUUGUCUGAAUAUGGGGGGACCAUCCUCCAAGGCUAAAUACUCCUGACUGACCGAUAGUGAACCAGUACCGUGAGGGAAAGGCGAAAAGAACCCCUGUGAGGGGAGUGAAAUAGAUCCUGAAACCGCAUGCAUACAAGCAGUGGGAGCACCUUCGUGGUGUGACUGCGUACCUUUUGUAUAAUGGGUCAGCGACUUAUAUUCAGUAGCGAGGUUAACCGUAUAGGGGAGCCGUAGAGAAAUCGAGUCUUAAUAGGGCGUUUAGUUGCUGGGUAUAGACCCGAAACCAGGCGAUCUAUCCAUGAGCAGGUUGAAGGUUGGGUAACACUAACUGGAGGACCGAACCCACUGUCGUUGAAAAGCCAGGGGAUGACUUGUGGAUAGGGGUGAAAGGCUAAUCAAGCCUGGUGAUAGCUGGUUCUCCCCGAAAGCUAUUUAGGUAGCGCCUCGGACGAAUACCAUAGGGGGUAGAGCACUGUUUCGGCUAGGGGGUCAUCCCGACUUACCAAACCGAUGCAAACUCCGAAUACCUAUGAGUACUAUCCGGGAGACAGACUGCGGGUGCUAACGUCCGUAGUCAAGAGGAAAACAAUCCAGACCGCCAGCUAAGGCCCCAAAAUCAUAGUUAAGUGGGAAACGAUGUGGGAAGGCAUAGACAGCUAGGAGGUUGGCUUAGAAGCAGCCACCCUUUAAAGAAAGCGUAAUAGCUCACUAGUCGAGUCGGCCUGCGCGGAAGAUGUAACGGGGCUAAAACUAUGUGCCGAAGCUGCGGAUGUAUACUUUGUAUACGUGGUAGGGGAGCGUUCUGUAAGCCGAUGAAGGUGUGUUGAGAAGCAUGCUGGAGGUAUCAGAAGUGCGAAUGCUGACGUGAGUAACGACAAAACGGGUGAAAAACCCGUUCGCCGAAAGACCAAGGGUUCCAGUCCAACGUUAAUCGGGGCUGGGUGAGUCGACCCCUAAGGCGAGGCCGAAAGGCGUAGUCGAUGGGAAAAUGGUUAAUAUUCCAUUACUUCUGUGUAAUGCGAUGAGAGGACGGAGAAGGCUAAAUCAGCCUGGCGUUGGUUGUCCAGGUGAAAGGAUGUAGGCAUGUAUCUUAGGCAAAUCCGGGGUACUCUAUGCUGAGAUCUGAUAGCAAGCUGUACUUGUACAGCGAAGUGGUUGAUGCCAUGCUUCCAGGAAAAGUCUCUAAGCUUCAGUUACACAGGAAUCGUACCCGAAACCGACACAGGUGGUCAGGUCGAGUAGACCAAGGCGCUUGAGAGAACUCUGCUGAAGGAACUAGGCAAAAUGGUACCGUAACUUCGGGAGAAGGUACGCUGUUGUUGGUGAUGGAACUCGCUUCCUGAGCUGACGACAGCCGCAGAAACCAGGCCGCUGCAACUGUUUAUUAAAAACAUAGCACUCUGCAAACACGAAAGUGGACGUAUAGGGUGUGAUGCCUGCCCGGUGCUGGAAGGUUAAUUGAUGGGGUUAGCGUAAGCGAAGCUCUUGAUCGAAGCCCCAGUAAACGGCGGCCGUAACUAUAACGGUCCUAAGGUAGCGAAAUUCCUUGUCGGGUAAGUUCCGACCUGCACGAAUGGCAUAAUGAUGGCGGCGCUGUCUCCAGCAGAGGCUCAGUGAAAUCGAAAUCGCUGUGAAGAUGCAGUGUACCCGCGGCUAGACGGAAAGACCCCGUGAACCUUUACUGCAGCUUGACACUGAACUUUGACCUUACUUGUGUAGGAUAGGUGGGAGGCUUUGAAGCUGGAACGCUAGUUCCAGUGGAGCCGUCCUUGAAAUACCACCCUGGUAAUGUUGAGGUUCUAACUCUGUCCCGUGAUCCGGGACGAGGACCGUGUCUGGUGGGUAGUUUGACUGGGGCGGUCUCCUCCUAAAGAGUAACGGAGGAGUACGAAGGUGCGCUCAGCGUGGUCGGAAAUCACGCGUAGAGUAUAAAGGCAAAAGCGCGCUUAACUGCGAGACCCACAAGUCGAGCAGGUACGAAAGUAGGUCUUAGUGAUCCGGUGGUUCUGUAUGGAAGGGCCAUCGCUCAACGGAUAAAAGGUACUCUGGGGAUAACAGGCUGAUACCGCCCAAGAGUUCAUAUCGACGGCGGUGUUUGGCACCUCGAUGUCGGCUCAUCUCAUCCUGGGGCUGAAGCAGGUCCCAAGGGUAUGGCUGUUCGCCAUUUAAAGAGGUACGCGAGCUGGGUUUAGAACGUCGUGAGACAGUUCGGUCCCUAUCUACCGUGGGCGCUGGAAAUUUGAGAGGAUCUGCUCCUAGUACGAGAGGACCAGAGUGGACGAACCUCUGGUGUACCGGUUGUGACGCCAGUCGCAUCGCCGGGUAGCUAUGUUCGGAAGGGAUAACCGCUGAAAGCAUCUAAGCGGGAAGCCUACCUCAAGAUAAGAUUUCCCUAGGACUUUAUGUCCUCUAAAGAGCCGUUCGAGACUAGGACGUUGAUAGGUUGGAUGUGGAAGCAUAGUGAUAUGUGAAGCUGACCAAUACUAAUUGCUCGUGAGGCUUGACUAU
RNAcentral lists this ribosomal RNA (2721 nucleotides) under Acinetobacter baumannii. RNAcentral's name for it is "partial 23S ribosomal RNA". It matches the Rfam family "Bacterial large subunit ribosomal RNA". Lineage: Bacteria; Pseudomonadati; Pseudomonadota; Gammaproteobacteria; Moraxellales; Moraxellaceae. The record is from RNAcentral.